This 1949-nucleotide ribosomal RNA is filed under the name human gut metagenome. Its description in RNAcentral is "bacterial LSU rRNA". It matches the Rfam family "Bacterial large subunit ribosomal RNA", at positions 1 to 1977 of the family's 2925-position model. RNAcentral also lists the same sequence under 1 other name. The record is from RNAcentral.
UUAAGCGACUAAGCGUACACGGUGGAUGCCCUGGCAGUCAGAGGCGAUGAAGGACGUGCUAAUCUGCGAUAAGCGUCGGUGAGGUGAUAUGAACCGUUAUAACCGGCGAUUUCCGAAUGGGGAAACCCAGUGUGUUUCGACACACUAUCAUUAACUGAAUCCAUAGGUUAAUGAGGCGAACCGGGGGAACUGAAACAUCUAAGUACCCCGAGGAAAAGAAAUCAACCGAGAUUCCCCCAGUAGCGGCGAGCGAACGGGGAGGAGCCCAGAGCCUGAAUCAGUGUGUGUGUUAGUGGAAGCGUCUGGAAAGGCGUGCGAUACAGGGUGACAGCCCCGUACACAAAAAUGCACAUAUUGUGAGCUCGAUGAGUAGGGCGGGACACGUGGUAUCCUGUCUGAAUAUGGGGGGACCAUCCUCCAAGGCUAAAUACUCCUGACUGACCGAUAGUGAACCAGUACCGUGAGGGAAAGGCGAAAAGAACCCCGGCGAGGGGAGUGAAAAAGAACCUGAAACCGUGUACGUACAAGCAGUGGGAGCCUCUUAAUGGGGUGACUGCGUACCUUUUGUAUAAUGGGUCAGCGACUUAUAUUCUGUAGCAAGGUUAACCGAAUAGGGGAGCCGAAGGGAAACCGAGUCUUAACUGGGCGUUAAGUUGCAGGGUAUAGACCCGAAACCCGGUGAUCUAGCCAUGGGCAGGUUGAAGGUUGGGUAACACUAACUGGAGGACCGAACCGACUAAUGUUGAAAAAUUAGCGGAUGACUUGUGGCUGGGGGUGAAAGGCCAAUCAAACCGGGAGAUAGCUGGUUCUCCCCGAAAGCUAUUUAGGUAGCGCCUCGUGAAUUCAUCUCCGGGGGUAGAGCACUGUUUCGGCAAGGGGGUCAUCCCGACUUACCAACCCGAUGCAAACUGCGAAUACCGGAGAAUGUUAUCACGGGAGACACACGGCGGGUGCUAACGUCCGUCGUGAAGAGGGAAACAACCCAGACCGCCAGCUAAGGUCCCAAAGUCAUGGUUAAGUGGGAAACGAUGUGGGAAGGCCCAGACAGCCAGGAUGUUGGCUUAGAAGCAGCCAUCAUUUAAAGAAAGCGUAAUAGCUCACUGGUCGAGUCGGCCUGCGCGGAAGAUGUAACGGGGCUAAACCAUGCACCGAAGCUGCGGCAGCGACACUAUGUGUUGUUGGGUAGGGGAGCGUUCUGUAAGCCUGUGAAGGUGGCCUGUGAGGGUUGCUGGAGGUAUCAGAAGUGCGAAUGCUGACAUAAGUAACGAUAAAGCGGGUGAAAAGCCCGCUCGCCGGAAGACCAAGGGUUCCUGUCCAACGUUAAUCGGGGCAGGGUGAGUCGACCCCUAAGGCGAGGCCGAAAGGCGUAGUCGAUGGGAAACAGGUUAAUAUUCCUGUACUUGGUGUUACUGCGAAGGGGGGACGGAGAAGGCUAUGUUGGCCGGGCGACGGUUGUCCCGGUUUAAGCGUGUAGGCUGGUUUUCCAGGCAAAUCCGGAAAACCAAGGCUGAGGCGUGAUGACGAGGCACUACGGUGCUGAAGCGACAAAUGCCCUGCUUCCAGGAAAAGCCUCUAAGCAUCAGGUAACAUCAAAUCGUACCCCAAACCGACACAGGUGGUCAGGUAGAGAAUACCAAGGCGCUUGAGAGAACUCGGGUGAAGGAACUAGGCAAAAUGGUGCCGUAACUUCGGGAGAAGGCACGCUGAUAUGUAGGUGAAGCGACUUGCUCGUGGAGCUGAAAUCAGUCGAAGAUACCAGCUGGCUGCAACUGUUUAUUAAAAACACAGCACUGUGCAAACACGAAAGUGGACGUAUACGGUGUGACGCCUGCCCGGUGCCGGAAGGUUAAUUGAUGGGGUUAGCGGCAACGCGAAGCUCUUGAUCGAAGCCCCGGUAAACGGCGGCCGUAACUAUAACGGUCCUAAGGUAGCGAAAUUCCUUGUCGGGU